Long non-coding RNA from Diceros bicornis minor, 299 nucleotides. RefSeq lists it as uncharacterized. The record is from RefSeq and is a predicted model, not a curated record. Lineage: Eukaryota; Metazoa; Chordata; Mammalia; Perissodactyla; Rhinocerotidae. The transcript has 3 exons.
AGAGUGACUCUACUGGGAGCUGAGCCAUGAGACCCAGAGCAUCACCCAUCUGGGCUCCUUCACCCUGGACGGGGACAGCCUCUACGUCAGUGGUUACACCUAUGGAGCCAUGGCCCCAACUACCAACACUUUGGGGCACAACCUGAAGACCCUCAAAGUCAACGUCACCAUCUCCACCCUCUGGUAUUCCUCAGACAUGAGCAAAGACUAAGCCACGAUCAACUUCACUGAGAGGGUCCUGCAGAGCCUGGGGAGACCCUGGUCCCAGCAGCUCCUGGUGGGUUAAAUCCCACCCAGCC